UUACCUCAGUAACGGCGAGUGAAGCGGUAACAGCUCAAAUUUGAAAGCUGCCAACAGGCCGCGUUGUAAUUUGUAGAAGAUGCUUUGGGUGUUGGCCUGGUCUAAGUUCCUUGGAACAGGACGUCAUAGAGGGUGAGAAUCCCGUAUGUGAUUAGUGCCUCCCCCCGUGUAAAGCUCUUUCGACGAGUCGAGUUGUUUGGGAAUGCAGCUCAAAAUGGGUGGUAAAUUUCAUCUAAAGCUAAAUAUUGGCCAGAGACCGAUAGCGCACAAGUAGAGUGAUCGAAAGAUGAAAAGCACUUUGGAAAGAGAGUUAAACAGUACGUGAAAUUGUUGAAAGGGAAGCGCUUGCAAUCAGACUUGCGGGCGGUCGAUCAUCCGAGGUUCUCCCCGGUGCACUCGAUCGCCCUCAGGCCAGCAUCGGUUUCGGUGGUGGGAUAAAGGCUGUGAGAAUGUGGCUCUUCGGAGUGUUAUAGCUCACGGUGCAAUGCCGCCUACCGGGACCGAGGACCGCGCUUCGGCUAGGAUGCUGGCGUAAUGGUUGUAAGCGACCCGUCUUGAAACACGGACCAAGGAGUCUAACAUCUAUGCGAGUGUUUGGGCGUCAAACCCAUACGCGUAAUGAAAGUGAACGUACCUAAGAAGUCUCUUCGACCGCAUUAGGGACCGAUCUUGAUGUCUUC
This 680-nucleotide ribosomal RNA is filed under the name Helotiales sp. IHEM 28159. RNAcentral describes it as "partial 28S ribosomal RNA". It matches the Rfam family "Eukaryotic large subunit ribosomal RNA", at positions 75 to 781 of the family's 3401-position model. The record is from RNAcentral. Lineage: Eukaryota; Fungi; Ascomycota; Leotiomycetes; Helotiales.